Molecule: ribosomal RNA, 1542 nt
Filed under: Salmonella enterica subsp. arizonae
Lineage: Bacteria; Pseudomonadati; Pseudomonadota; Gammaproteobacteria; Enterobacterales; Enterobacteriaceae
Description: bacterial SSU rRNA
Rfam family: Bacterial small subunit ribosomal RNA
Source: RNAcentral
AAAUUGAAGAGUUUGAUCAUGGCUCAGAUUGAACGCUGGCGGCAGGCCUAACACAUGCAAGUCGAACGGUAACAGGAAGCAGCUUGCUGCUUUGCUGACGAGUGGCGGACGGGUGAGUAAUGUCUGGGAAACUGCCUGAUGGAGGGGGAUAACUACUGGAAACGGUGGCUAAUACCGCAUAACGUCGCAGGACCAAAGAGGGGGACCUUCGGGCCUCUUGCCAUCAGAUGUGCCCAGAUGGGAUUAGCUUGUUGGUGAGGUAACGGCUCACCAAGGCGACGAUCCCUAGCUGGUCUGAGAGGAUGACCAGCCACACUGGAACUGAGACACGGUCCAGACUCCUACGGGAGGCAGCAGUGGGGAAUAUUGCACAAUGGGCGCAAGCCUGAUGCAGCCAUGCCGCGUGUAUGAAGAAGGCCUUCGGGUUGUAAAGUACUUUCAGCGGGGAGGAAGGUGUUGUGGUUAAUAACCGCAGCAAUUGACGUUACCCGCAGAAGAAGCACCGGCUAACUCCGUGCCAGCAGCCGCGGUAAUACGGAGGGUGCAAGCGUUAAUCGGAAUUACUGGGCGUAAAGCGCACGCAGGCGGUCUGUCAAGUCGGAUGUGAAAUCCCCGGGCUCAACCUGGGAACUGCAUUCGAAACUGGCAGGCUUGAGUCUUGUAGAGGGGGGUAGAAUUCCAGGUGUAGCGGUGAAAUGCGUAGAGAUCUGGAGGAAUACCGGUGGCGAAGGCGGCCCCCUGGACAAAGACUGACGCUCAGGUGCGAAAGCGUGGGGAGCAAACAGGAUUAGAUACCCUGGUAGUCCACGCCGUAAACGAUGUCUACUUGGAGGUUGUGCCCUUGAGGCGUGGCUUCCGGAGCUAACGCGUUAAGUAGACCGCCUGGGGAGUACGGCCGCAAGGUUAAAACUCAAAUGAAUUGACGGGGGCCCGCACAAGCGGUGGAGCAUGUGGUUUAAUUCGAUGCAACGCGAAGAACCUUACCUGGUCUUGACAUCCACAGAACCCUGUAGAGAUACGGGGGUGCCUUCGGGAGCUGUGAGACAGGUGCUGCAUGGCUGUCGUCAGCUCGUGUUGUGAAAUGUUGGGUUAAGUCCCGCAACGAGCGCAACCCUUAUCCUUUGUUGCCAGCGGUCCGGCCGGGAACUCAAAGGAGACUGCCAGUGAUAAACUGGAGGAAGGUGGGGAUGACGUCAAGUCAUCAUGGCCCUUACGACCAGGGCUACACACGUGCUACAAUGGCGCAUACAAAGAGAAGCGACCUCGCGAGAGCAAGCGGACCUCAUAAAGUGCGUCGUAGUCCGGACUGGAGUCUGCAACUCGACUCCAUGAAGUCGGAAUCGCUAGUAAUCGUGGAUCAGAAUGCCACGGUGAAUACGUUCCCGGGCCUUGUACACACCGCCCGUCACACCAUGGGAGUGGGUUGCAAAAGAAGUAGGUAGCUUAACCUUCGGGAGGGCGCUUACCACUUUGUGAUUCAUGACUGGGGUGAAGUCGUAACAAGGUAACCGUAGGGGAACCUGCGGUUGGAUCACCUCCUUA